AGGGGUAGGGGGGUAACAGCUUGUGGGCUCAGGAUUACCAUGCUCACCAACGAGGCCACAAGCACAUCCCAGCUGCCCUAGGGCUCUCCUAGCAAAUGGGAAGGGGCUGAGGGCAAAGGAAGGUCUGAGCCCAUGGGUUCAGAACAAGGAAGUGCAAAGAUUACCACUGGUUUGCAAGCUGACAGGAUGUGGUACAUGUCAGCCCUCCCUCAGGAAGUAUGACAUACUGCCGGAACUGUGGCUAAUGGUGCGGACCACCCUGCUCACUGUUAGCAAAGUGGGUAGCUACCCUCUCUUCUGGAAGCCCCUCUGCAGCACUCCUCUUGGGAGUAGAAAAGGAAGUGGUCAAGACCUACAUUUGGGAGCUGAUCCGUCUUGCUCUCAGUUAGGGCCCAGCCCUUCUGUGGGGACCAGGAAAAUCUUUGCUCACCUGGAGAAGCUGCUGGUUCAGCCCAACUUUAUCUAACGCCAAAGCCUCAUUUAAGGCACUGAGCUUGACAGCUGCAGCCCGAAGAUCAGCUACUUCUGUCUUCAGGGUGUUUUCAGAACUCGACAGCUCUGCAAUUGACUGCUCUGCCUAAAAAACAAAAAGGAUUAAAGAGUUUCAUAUUUCCAAUUUUCCUGGAACAGUAAACAGUUCACAUUCCCAACA
Molecule: long non-coding RNA, 652 nt
Filed under: Homo sapiens (human)
Lineage: Eukaryota; Metazoa; Chordata; Mammalia; Primates; Hominidae
Description: HSALNT0400795
Source: RNAcentral